RNAcentral lists this unclassified non-coding RNA (494 nucleotides) under Hevea brasiliensis (rubber tree). The record is from RNAcentral. Lineage: Eukaryota; Viridiplantae; Streptophyta; Magnoliopsida; Malpighiales; Euphorbiaceae.
UCUGGUUCUUGUGAUGGGAUUUUUGUGAAAGAGAAUAAAGACUUGAGUUUUAGAGGAUGGGAUUUUGAUCGAGUUUGUUUGGAUGCAUCUACGAGUUUUGAGGAUUUGAAGAAAAGGAAAGACUUUUGUUUUUGUUUAAACUGAUUUUGAGGAGAUGGGUUGCUUUCCUUGUUUUGAUUCGAGGGAAGAAGAGACUCUAAAUCCACGGAAGGAAUCCGAUGAUCGAAAGCAAAGCUUGCCCACCGAGUCUUCUAACAUUUCCAAAUUAUCCUCUGGUGCUGACAGGCUUGGAUCAAGAAGCAAUGGAAGGUCAAAAAGAGAAUUGCCAGUUGCUAAGGAUGGAUUAACUGGUGGCAACAUCGCAGCUCAAACAUUUACUUUCCGUGAGCUUGCAGCUGCAACAAAGAAUUUUAGGCCAGAGUCUUUCUUAGGAGAAGGGGGGUUUGGACGUGUAUAUAAAGGGCUUCUUGAGAGCACUGGUCAGGUUGUUGCUG